AUUUCAACCAGGCACACCUCUUUCAUUUUAAGUUCAAAUAAAGUGGCAAUCAUUGCACGUCAAAGCAACACUUUAUGGCGUCUUCUACUGAAAAAAUCAACAUACCUUACAUUGCAUAUAAGAAAGAACUGGUUCCCAGAACUUCGGAUGUACCAAAACAGGUACUUCAGAUCUGACAAACAGACCAAAUGUACCCUCUUUUCAAAAUUUGCUGCAGUUUUUUAAAUAUUUAAAAUUAAAAGUCCAAAAGUGUUCUACAAUGAUCACCAGUCCUUCAGCUUUCAUUUGAUGUCAAAACUACCUAAAUAUCCUACAUAUUUUGAAAGUUACACUCAUGCGUAGGAACUAUUUUGCGUUAAAUAUGUACUACUUUCUGGUAUGUGCUUUCUGGCCGGGCCCGAAUUAGUGGUGUUACACCUU
This 420-nucleotide long non-coding RNA is filed under the name Mytilus galloprovincialis (Mediterranean mussel). Lineage: Eukaryota; Metazoa; Mollusca; Bivalvia; Mytilida; Mytilidae. The record is from RNAcentral.